UUCGUUAACGAACGAGACCUUAACCUACUAAAUAGUACUUGUGAAAUAUUUUUUUUUUAUAAGAACUUCUUAGAGGGACAAACUGUGUAAACAGUGGGAAGAUUAAGGCAAUAACAGGUCUGUGAUGCCCUUUAGAUGUUCUGGGCCGCACGCGCGCUACACUGAUAAAGACAGAAAGUGUAUAACCUUUGCUGGAAAGCCUGGGUAAUCUUUUCUAAACUUUAUCGUGAUUGGGAUAGACAAUUGCAAUUAUUUGUCUUGAACGAGGAAUUCCUAGUAAGCGCAAGUCAUCAGCUUGCGUUGAUUACGUCCCUGCCCUUUGUACACACCGCCCGUCGAUAAUACCGAUUGAAUGGUUG
RNAcentral lists this ribosomal RNA (359 nucleotides) under Eukaryota sp. RNAcentral's name for it is "SSU rRNA". It matches the Rfam family "Eukaryotic small subunit ribosomal RNA", at positions 1324 to 1699 of the family's 1831-position model. The record is from RNAcentral.